CUGCCCUGAUGUUUCCUGGAAUAAUGCUGAGGACUGCCUUUCGGGUAGCCUCCCUAUUCAGUUCACUUCAUCUCGGAAAUACCUGACCCCUGCCUUGGAUCCAGCGGCCCUCCUGAGAGCUGAGGAAGGAGGAAAUCCUACAUGUCUGCUCCCGGAGCUGCCACAACCCAUCUUCCCACAACUCGGAACUUGGAAAAAGGAACCCAGGACACGACUUUGCUUUUCUUUUGGACCUAGUUGAAGUCACAGCUUGGAGGAAACCAGUUUGCACUGUUUGAGGAGGAAUUUGGCCACCAAACCACUGAUACUUUCCCAAAGGUUUGGCAGAAAUUGUUUUUUGAGUGGCUCACCAGAGUACCUAGAAGAAUCAGCAUGGAAUUAGAGGACAGUGGCCUACCCUAAAUAAAGACAUGAGUGAUGU
RNAcentral lists this long non-coding RNA (421 nucleotides) under Pan troglodytes (chimpanzee). Its description in RNAcentral is "lincRNA". The record is from RNAcentral. Lineage: Eukaryota; Metazoa; Chordata; Mammalia; Primates; Hominidae.